GACGAACGCUGGCGGCGUGCUUAACACAUGCAAGUCGAACGGUGAAGCUCCAGCUUGCUGGAGUGGAUCAGUGGCGAACGGGUGAGUAACACGUGAGCAACCUGCCCCUGACUCCGGAAUAAGCGCUGGAAACUGCGUCUAAUACAGGAUACGAGAUGGGGCCGCAUGGGCACGCUCUGGAAAGUUUGUCGGUUGGGGAUGGGCUCGCGGCCUAUCAGCUUGUUGGUGAGGUACUGGCUCACCCAGGCGAGGACGGGUAGCCGGCCCGAGGGGGGGACCGGCCCCACUGGGACGGAGACACGGCCCAGCCUCCUCCGGGAGGCAGCAGUGGAGAAUAUUGCACAACGGGCGAAAGCCUGAUGCAGCGCCGCCGCGUGGGGGAUGACGGCCUUCGGGUUGGAAUCCUCUUUCAGCAGGGAAGAAGCGAAAGUGACGGUACCUGCAGAAGAAGCACCGGCUAACUACGUG
RNAcentral lists this ribosomal RNA (468 nucleotides) under uncultured bacterium. RNAcentral's name for it is "partial 16S ribosomal RNA". It matches the Rfam family "Bacterial small subunit ribosomal RNA", at positions 28 to 507 of the family's 1533-position model. The record is from RNAcentral.